This 297-nucleotide ribosomal RNA is filed under the name uncultured bacterium. RNAcentral's name for it is "partial 16S ribosomal RNA". It matches the Rfam family "Bacterial small subunit ribosomal RNA", at positions 334 to 631 of the family's 1533-position model. The record is from RNAcentral.
UACGCCUACGGGAGGCAGCAGUGGGGAAUAUUGCACAAUGGGGGAAACCCUGAUGCAGCGACGCCGCGUGAGUGAAGAAGUAUUUCGGUACGUAAAGCUCUAUCAGCAGGGAAGAAAAAAAGUCCUUUGGACUUUGGACGGUACCUGACCAAGAAGCCCCGGCUAACUACGUGCCAGCAGCCGCGGUAAUACGUAGGGGGCAAGCGUUAUCCGGCAUUACUGGGUGUAAAGGGAGAGUAGGCGGCAAGGUAAGAGAUAUGUGAAAGCCUUAAGCUUAACUUAAGGAUUGCAUAACGA